AAGUAGCAGUCCAUGAUAGAUAAUAAAACUUGGUUAAUAUAAUUUGAACACGUGAGAGGAAAAGUGUAAUCCAUUCCUGCAGUCUCUCCUGAAUGAGACCAUGUGUUAUAUAGACUUGAUGAAU
RNAcentral lists this small nucleolar RNA (124 nucleotides) under Microcebus murinus (gray mouse lemur). Its description in RNAcentral is "Small nucleolar RNA SNORA28 (ENSMICG00000024528.3)". The record is from RNAcentral. Lineage: Eukaryota; Metazoa; Chordata; Mammalia; Primates; Cheirogaleidae.